RNAcentral lists this ribosomal RNA (120 nucleotides) under Propithecus coquereli (Coquerel's sifaka). The record is from RNAcentral. Lineage: Eukaryota; Metazoa; Chordata; Mammalia; Primates; Indriidae.
GUCUAAGGCCAUACCACCCUGAACGCGCCCAAUCUCGUCUGAUCUAGGAAGCUAAGCAGGGUAGGGCCUGGCUAAUAAUUGGAUGGGAUACCACUUGAGAAAUAUCAGGUGCUGUAGGCU